AAGGCUGCAGAAAACUUCACCCUCUUGGUAAAGAACAACAUCUGGUACCCCAAGUUUAACUUCAGCAAGUAAGUGGGGGCCGGGCACGUGCGUUCUCAAGCCUCUCGAUAGAACUUCAGGCUCGCUCUCCCCCUGAGGUUGUCCUCACUCAGACUCUCUGCUUCCUCCCUGACUUCAGGAGGAACAUCCUCCCCAACAUCACCACGUCCUACCUCAAAUCGUGCAUUUACAAUGCUCAAACGGAUCCCUUCUGCCCCAUAUUCCGUCUUGGCACAAUCGUGGAGGACGCGGGACAUAGCUUCCAGGAGAUGGCAGUUGAGGUAGGUGGCCAACAUGGCUUCUCGUAUCUUCUUGGCCCCAGCAUGGGCCUGAGUUCUUGAAAGCCUAGCUUUUCUCUCCUGCUUUCCCCCACAGGGAGGCAUCAUGGGUAUCCAGAUCAAGUGGGACUGCAACCUGGAUAGAGCCGCCUCCCUUUGCCUGCCCAGAUAUUCCUUCCGGCGCCUGGACACCCGGGACCUGGAACACAAUGUGUCUCCUGGCUACAAUUUCAGGUACACCCACAUGGUGGGAGGACGAACAAAUGUGGGUCGAGCCUGGGCUGCACCGUGAGAGCUGCAUUCAAAUCUGCCGUCUGAGAAUGCUGCCCUAUC
This 650-nucleotide long non-coding RNA is filed under the name Rattus norvegicus (Norway rat). RNAcentral's name for it is "long non-coding RNA NONRATT007986". Lineage: Eukaryota; Metazoa; Chordata; Mammalia; Rodentia; Muridae. The record is from RNAcentral.